This 450-nucleotide ribosomal RNA is filed under the name uncultured bacterium. RNAcentral's name for it is "partial 16S ribosomal RNA". It matches the Rfam family "Bacterial small subunit ribosomal RNA", at positions 354 to 796 of the family's 1533-position model. The record is from RNAcentral.
GUGGGGAAUUUUGGACAAUGGGGGCAACCCUGAUCCAGCCAUGCCGCGUGCGGGAAGAAGGCCUUCGGGUUGUAAACCGCUUUUGUCAGGGAAGAAAUCCUUUGGGUUAAUACCUCGGAGGGAUGACGGUACCUGAAGAAUAAGCACCGGCUAACUACGUGCCAGCAGCCGCGGUAAUACGUAGGGUGCGAGCGUUAAUCGGGAUUACUGGGCGUAAAGCGUUCGCAGGCGGUGUUUUAAGAUCGAUGUGAAAUCCCCGGGAUCAACCUGGGAACUGCAUUGGUGACUGCAAGGCUGGAGUGCGGCAGAGGGAGAUGGAAUUCCGCGUGUAGCAGUGAAAUGCGUAGAUAUGCGGAGGAACACCGAUGGCGAAGGCAAUCCCCUGGGCCUGCACUGACGCUCAUGCACGAAAGCGUGGGGAGCAAACAGGAUUAGAAACCCGAGUAGUCC